GAUGAACGCUGGCGGCGUGCUUAACACAUGCAAGUCGAACGGUGAACACAGAGCUUGCUCUGUGGGAUCAGUGGCGAACGGGUGAGUAACACGUGAGCAACCUGCCCCUGACUCUGGGAUAAGCGCUGGAAACGGCGUCUAAUACUGGAUAUGUGACGUGACCGCAUGGUCUGCGUUUGGAAAGAUUUUUCGGUUGGGGAUGGGCUCGCGGCCUAUCAGCUUGUUGGUGAGGUAAUGGCUCACCAAGGCGUCGACGGGUAGCCGGCCUGAGAGGGUGACCGGCCACACUGGGAUUGAGACACGGCCCAGACUCCUACGGGAGGCAGCAGUGGGGAAUAUUGCACAAUGGGCGAAAGCCUGAUGCAGCAACGCCGCGUGAGGGAUGACGGCCUUCGGGUUGUAAACCUUUUUUAGCAGGGAAGAAGCGAAAGUGACGGUACCUGCAGAAAAAGCGCCGGCUAACUACGUG
Molecule: ribosomal RNA, 469 nt
Filed under: uncultured bacterium
Lineage: Bacteria
Description: partial 16S ribosomal RNA
Rfam family: Bacterial small subunit ribosomal RNA
Source: RNAcentral